GACGAACCGUGCGAACGUUGUUCGGAAUCACUGGGCUUAAAGGGCGCGUAGGCGGCUUGCCAAGUCAGUGGUGAAAUCCUGCAGCUUAACUGCAGAAGUGCCUUUGAUACUGGCGAGCUCGAGGGAGGUAGGGGUAUGUGGAACUUCUGGUGGAGCGGUGAAAUGCGUUGAUAUCAGAAGGAACGCCGGUGGCGAAAGCGACGUACUGGACCUCUUCUGACGCUGAGGCGCGAAAGCUAGGGGAGCAAAC
This 250-nucleotide ribosomal RNA is filed under the name uncultured bacterium. RNAcentral describes it as "partial 16S ribosomal RNA". It matches the Rfam family "Bacterial small subunit ribosomal RNA", at positions 524 to 773 of the family's 1533-position model. The record is from RNAcentral.